UUAGCACUAGGUCGCUACCGUUAUGUUACAGCCGUCACAGGCCUCUUUUCGUUACCCGCGACUAUGACUGUGGAUGCGACGACGAUUGCGAUUGAAACCAUGAUGUUGGUGGAAGAAAGGAAUAUUUAUUAUAUUUGGAGGAUAAGAGCAUAAAAGGUCAAGGAAACUCUAAAGAGGAUGAAGUUUGAUAAAACAUGUGGAAUCGGAUUGAAUUCCUAUUGAACUUUGGAAGUAUUUAAUGGAGCAAGGAGCGGUGUUAUUGACUAGGUUGUUUAAUAAAAUUCUAAUAUUUAAGAAAAUUGCGGAGUGAAUGAGAAGCACCCUUGUUCAGUUGUUCCUAUAUUUACAAACAAGAGAGUUAUCCAAAUUUGCUUAAACUAUGGAGUUAUCAAGCUCAUGAGUUAUGCAGUGAAGCAUUAAAAGUGUGAUGGAAUGCAAAAUGGAAAGUAACACAAGUAUCGCUAGAAACCAGUUUGGUCUAAUGCUAGGAAAGAUGUAGCAUGGAGAAUUUUUCCCAUAUAAGGUUGAUAGAGGAAUUUUGAGAGAAAAGGAAAGAUUUCCAUAUGAUAUUUAUCAAUUUAUUUAAGGCAUAUGGUAGAGUUUUGAGAGAUACUUGUAGUGGGUUUUGAAAUGGGAAGGACUACAUUAGAAUACAUAAAGGUGUUGAAAGAUACAUAUAUUCGGAAAGCACUAGGAUUCAAAGUUUAGGGAUGACACAAAAGAUUUUCUUACAACAGUUGGUUUACACCAAGGAUUGGUCUUGAGCCCUUUCUUUUUGCGUUGGUCAGGGAUGAGUUAAAAAAUAGCACAACCAAGAAGAUAUUCCUUGAUGUAUGAUGUUUGUAGAUUUUAAUGAAUAAAGCAAUUAUUCAUAAUCACACGUUGAAGUUAUAGAGGAGUUUAAAAGAGUUUGAACAAGAAUUUAAAGAACUAAAAUAGUGAAUGUGGAUUAGAAUUUUAUCAAGGCAAGGAAAAGUGAUGGAAAUGGGGUUAGAAUAGACAACAUAAGGUCCCAGAAAGCACACACUUUAGGUAACUAGCCUCCAGGGGAGAUUCAAAAAAUUUGGUCAGAUAGGGGCAAUAUGUUAUGUAAUAUCUACACAUAAGCAUAUAUAUGUAGAGACAUUAUACACAUGUACUCAAACACAAAUAAAUAUGAAAAAUAUUAAGAACAAAAGUAAUAAAACUUACUAGAAUUUAUAUAUAUAUAUUUUUAUAAAUUGUUGAAUUUUCAUUUUUCUUAACAAAUUUUCAAUUUUUUUUUAUUCCAUCAUGCAUACGUAUGUUACCUAAUGAGCCGUUCAAUGUCUUUGUAGUUAACUAUUUCAAUUUUCACAUGAGAGUAAAUUUAAUGGUAAUGCAUUUUUCUUUAGAGAGUUCUUUUGUUAGAAAUAUAGUUGAGAAAAAGAAAACUAAUAUAUAAUAUAUUUAAAGGUUUUAUAAUAUGCAUAGAGAGAGCCUUUUUUUAAAUAUUUUUUAAGGACAGGAAUUGUUACUAAUGAGACAAUGUUAUCAAGGUGAAAGACGAUACUAAGGUAACUGAGUACCCUAUGGUCUUUGGCGAGAGCCGAGGUAAGAGCCUUUUUGGGAGAAGAGGCAUUAUAUCCUAAAUUGCAUAAAACACACACACACACACACACGAAGUUCGAACAAAUCCAAAACUGGAGCAGCCUUCACAGUUUGUGCUCUGAUUUCUAGUGCAGUAUAAAUUGAAGGAAAUCCCAAAAAGAAGAAUUGAACAAAAUCUAAGCAUGAAAUCUUACCGGUUAAUGAAAAACCCUUGAAAGAGCAGAUCUAGAGAUUUCAAAU
This 1809-nucleotide unclassified non-coding RNA is filed under the name Hevea brasiliensis (rubber tree). Lineage: Eukaryota; Viridiplantae; Streptophyta; Magnoliopsida; Malpighiales; Euphorbiaceae. The record is from RNAcentral.